RNAcentral lists this long non-coding RNA (23569 nucleotides) under Vitis vinifera (wine grape). RNAcentral describes it as "long non-coding RNA (VVIN_LNC002965)". The record is from RNAcentral. Lineage: Eukaryota; Viridiplantae; Streptophyta; Magnoliopsida; Vitales; Vitaceae.
CUAGAUCCAGAUUCAUACAACAAGACUGGGGGUUCUGCUUCUGCUCAAACUCAGUCAAUGGAGCCUCUUGAGUCGAAAAACAAUUUAGACAGAUUGUCCAGUUCUCACUCUGAAAAGAUGGGAAAAAGUGGAAUUCAUCAUGCCAGGGACCUUACCCAGACAUCAGGAAAGAUUGUUGGUUCAGAAACCAAGGAAGUAAAGGGUGCUCUUCCUGAAGGCUUCUUUGACAACAAGGAUGCUGACCUUCGUGCACGUGGUAUUGUGCCUGUUAAGCCGGAUGUCAAGUAAGUUCUUGCUUCUGUUAUAUAAAUUUAUUUCUUUAAAAUGUCACUAUCAUCUGACAGGGAAUGUAAUAGAUUCUCUGGAAUAGUAUUCCCUUCCUUUGAUUCUUUUUUGUCCUCUAGUACUGUUUCUUUUCUAUCAAAUUAGAGAAACAAGGUCUGAGAGGGUCUCAAAAGUGUGUAAAGAAAAUUUAAGAUUAUAUCUUGUUUGAAGAAUUAUUUUUCAGCACUCACUGGUCCAUCAUUGUCAUUUUUGAAGCUUUGUCAUCUUUUCAUCAUCGUUGUUAUCAUCAUCGUGAUUAUCAUCUUCUAAUUUUUAACCUAAAAACAAAGCAAAUACAUAGGUCCUAGGUUGUGCUUAGAAGCUUUAUUUUGGGCAAUUUUAAUUGGUGGAUAAAUUUCAUGAGUCCUUUUUGGAUGCUUGUGGUAGGGUUUGAGUGGGAAAUCUUUAACCUUCUCUUUGAUAAAAUAUCAUUGGGAAAAAAAUUNNNNNNNNNNNNNNNNNNNNNNNNNNNNNNNNNNNNNNNNNNNNNNNNNNNNNNNNNNNNNNNNNNNNNNNNNNNNNNNNNNNNNNNNNNNNNNNNNNNNCCUUCUGUGGGAGAGACAAUCCUCACUGUGCUUGACAAGCUUGACAUUCAUAGGGGCCAAUACAGAUUCAAAAUCUUCUCCUUGCAAAAACAAGGACUUGCUAGAUUUCAGCCAAAAUGACUCAAGUUGGGCCCUGAAGCCCUUUGAAACACCCUUUCAGGUGGUUAAGAAAGCAAAAGGUGUUUGGUCUGUUAAGCUGACAAGUUUUCUAGAAAAACCAAGUAAUAGAACUUUCUAGGAUUUUUGAUUUGCUUCUUCAACACUGUCUUUGACUGUUGAUAAAUUCCUGCAGUCAUGACUGUAAUCGCAAGUUGUUAUUAGUCUGGCAAUUUGUUCUAUAUUCCCUAGUUGAAAUUCAAUUGCCCAUUUUUGGGAUUUGACUUGAUCCUGGUAACCUGUGGUUUUAGAGGAAUAAUUUAUAUUUCAUAAUGUAUCUCUAGGAAAUGAUGCGGUCAAGUUCCUAGAUCCAGAUUCAUACAACAAGACUGGGGGUUCUGCUUCUGCUCAGACUCAGUCAAUGGAGCCUCUUGAGUCGAAAAACAAUUUAGACAGAUUGUCCAGUUCUCACUCUGAAAAGAUGGGAAAAAGUGGAAUUCAUCAUGCCAGGGACCUUACCCAGACAUCAGGAAAGAUUGUUGGUUCAGAAACCAAGGAAGUAAAGGGUGCUCUUCCUGAAGGCUUCUUUGACAACAAGGAUGCUGACCUUCGUGCACGUGGUAUUGUGCCUGUUAAGCCGGAUGUCAAGUAAGUUCUUGCUUCUGUUAUAUAAAUUUAUUUCUUUAAAAUGUCACUAUCAUCUGACAGGGAGUGUAAUAGAUUCUCUGGAAUAGUAUUCCCUUUCUUUGAUUCUUUUAUGUCCUCUAGUACUGUUUCUUUUCUAUCAAAUUAGAGAAACAAGGUUGAGAGGGUCUCAAAAGCGUGUAAAGAAAAUUUGAGAUUAUAUCUUGUUUGAAGAAUUAUUUUUCAGCACUCACUGGUCCAUCAUUGUCAUUUUUGAAGCUUUGUCAUCUUUUCAUCAUCGUGAUUAUCAUCUUCUAAUUUUUAACCUAAAAACAAAGCAAAUACAUAGGUCCUAGGUUGUGCUUAGAAGCUUUAUUUUGGGCAAUUUUAAUUGGUGGAUAAAUUUCAUGAGUCCUUUUUGGAUGCUUGUGGUAGGGUUUGAGUGGGAAAUCUUUAACCUUCUCUUUGAUAAAAAUAUCAUUGGGAAAAAAAUUAGGACUCUGCCUAGUACUCACAGGUGUAUGUGAAUUCUGUACAUCACAACUGUAGUGUAGUGAAAUAAACCUUGGUAUAAUUUAGCAGGGGAGGGUGUUAGAGAGGACUGGCUGUGUUAAAAACCUUAGUGAGCCUCAGUGGAGGUUUCUCUGAUUCGUGGGGAAGUUUAUUUUUGAUAGCGUAGGGACCUUUUAACCCUGCAGCAUAAUGGCAUGUGUUUCAUUGGAUACUUGAGAUGAUCAGAAAUUACCAUGUAUGAUUGCAUUACUUGGAACACUGAAUUAACCUUGUUAAGAAAUGUUAAAUCCUGGUCAGGGACGAGUACAAAGAAUUUGAAAAGUUGAUACAGGAGGAUUUGAAGGAGGUGGACAACCGUUUGGAAGAAGAAGAGGUCAGGAUCAUUUAUUCCUUGCACCAUUCCUAGAACCCAAUAAUGUAGUCUCUGGUGAUGUUUACUAAAGAUUGGAGUUACAUCAUUAACUUGGUUUUGCAAUUUUAUGAUGUAGUUUGAUGCAGCUGAGAUGAUUGAAGAGGCCGAGUCUGUGGAGCAAAAGUAAGUCAAGUGUGGUCACGAGUAGUGUAUCACUUGGGUUCUCCUAUAUUUCCAAUGUUUUUGAGUUGACCUUUUGUUCAGGGUGUAUUGGGAGAAAGUGGAAAUGCUGAAGAAGAAGAAAUUGGAGCUGAAGGCGGCUAGAUCCGGCAGACGGAGUAAAGAGCCUGAGGUCAGAGGCAAGGGGCAUAGCUCUGAAGAGGAUUCAUCCAGUGAUGAUGAUAGUGAUGGGAAUUUCAUGGUUGAUUGGAGAGCACAACACCUGUGAAUACUUCUGUUUGAAAUUUUCUGGUAGCAUCGCCUGUGCAGACAUGUCUAUGUUGGCAUGCAAACACCUGAUUACGUUUGCUGGAGUUUGGUGCUGCUUCUUUCAUUCUGAGCCAUUCUCCAGAUUUUGGCUCAACUGGCUGCUGAUUGAAAGGGAUGGGGAGUGGGGCGAGGAGAGAGUAAGCCCUGGUCCAAGAUCCUAGAAUUUUACAUUGUUUCUGUAUGCGCAUGUAUAUAAAGGGGCAGGUAGAAGAUGUGGGUUUUGGUUGAAACUUGAAUGGUGUAUCCCGAAUUCCGAUACUAAGAUUUAGGGUUUAAUGAAGACAAAUGGGUUAGGAAAGGAAUCAGUUUUAUGCUCUUAUUGUUUAUUUGGAAUUUUUGAGUUCUUUCCCGGUGUUGCUGGUUAUUAUCUGAAACGCCUGCGCUACUUAACAUUUAUCUUUUCACUACGUUCAAUUAUAUGGUGUAAUCGCACAACUGAAAUGCAGAAUAUUCUGGUGGUAUUAUCUUAUGAUUUCAGAAUCAUAAUUAAUUAAUAAUAAUAAUAUUAUUAUUAUUAUUAUUAUUAUUGUUUUUGUUAGGGGGUGGCCAUUUGGUGGUAAUAGAGGGCAAGUUACAGUCAGUUUCGUUGUGGGUUUAAAAAGUAGUUUUUCCCUUUUAAAAAUAAAAAUUAUUUGUUUCUAAUUUUUAAAAAUAAAGAGUAAGAGUCUGUUUGGCUGCGUGAUACAAAAAUAAUUUUUUUUUAAUUUUAAUAAAUAAAAAAUUAUUUUAAAAAUCUUUUAACAUUAUUUUUGUUAAAAACAAAGUAAAAUAGAGAAUAAUUAUUUGAAAAUAAGUAAAAUUUGUUUUCAUCGAUUUUUAAAAAUAAAAAAAAAUUAUAGAAUUUUUUUUAAAAGUAUUAAAAAAACAAAUAAAUUUAAACAUGUUAUUAUUCCAUUUCUCUCAAUAGAUUUUUUUAAAAAAAAAUAUUAAACAAAAAUAAAAUUAAACAUGUUAUUAUUCCAUUUCUCUCUCCACAAUCUAAUCUUCCUUUAAAUAAUACGUAUUUUUCUGAAUUUUUCAUUAAGAAAAUAAAUUUCAAAUCAAAGUGUACUUGAAAUAUAAAAUUUAUUAAUUUUUAAAAAUAAUUUGAAACUCAAAAACUGAUUUAAUUAAUACUAAAAGUUAUGAAACUUAAUAAGUCAAAGAUCAAAAUUUAUUUUAAUUAUUUAGGUUAGUUUAUAUAUAUAUAUAUCAUUUUUUAAAAUUUUAUUAUUAGUUAAAUAAGUUUUAAAUUAAGCAAGAUUUAAUGCAUUAGAUUCAAUAAGAGCUUAGUAAUUUUUUAAAAUAAUUUAAAAUUCAAAUAGUAAACCAAUUAAUUCAAAAAACUUAGGGAUAAAAAUUGGUUUAGAACAACUUUAUUAUUUCUCUUUCACAUAGAAUCCUUAUUUCUUAAUUUUUUUUCUUAAGCAAAUGAACUCCAAAUUAAAUAAGACUUAAUGCUUCGAUUCAUUAAUGAGUUUAGUAAUUUUAAAAAUUAAUUUAAAACUCAAAUAAUGAACUAAUUAAUACUAGAAAUUUAUGAACAAAAAUUGGUUUAGAACCACUUUAUUGUUUGUCUUUUACAUAGAAUCCUUAUUCCCCAACUUUUUUCACUACAAAUGAAUUCCAAAUUAAAUAAAACUUAAUGCAUUGGAUUCAUUAACGAGUUUAGUAAUUUUUAAAAUUAAUCUAAAACUUAAAUAAUAAUAUAAUCAAUACUAGAAAUUUAUGAAAAAAAUGGUUUAAAAUAACUCAGUGUUUUUAUUUUACAUAGAAUUAUUAUUUUCUAUUUUUUUAACUAAGCAAAUAAGCUUCAAAUUAAAUGAGACUUAAUGUGUUGAAUUCAUCAAUAAGUUUAUUAAUUUUUGAAAAUAAUUUGAAAGUCAAAUAAUAAACUCAUUAAUACUAGAAAUUUAUGGAUAAAAAUUGUUUCAUAAUGAUUGUUAUUUUUAUAAACUCAUCAUUAAUACAUAUUGCAUUAAUGAUUAAAUUAUUAAUUUCUUUAAGUGUAUGUAUGAGCAACAUCUUACAGUGAUAGCAUAAUUUUUAACUUUAAACAAUCAAUAAUUUAAUAGGUAGUAAUAUAUAUCUUUAAUAAUAGAUACAAUGAUCAGAUAAAUCUGUCAUUGUGGUAUUUCCACCAAGUUUGAAUUUAAUAUUCAUCCUUGUGCAUGUGGACAUAUAAAAUGAUCAUGGGAAGGGGUGGGUUUGUAAUUCAAGGAAUAAAAAUGUAACACAAAAAGUAGAUGACUACAUAGUAUUUAAAUUACAGAUAAUAAUUCAUGAGAAACAAUAUAUAAUGAUAUAGUAGGCUUGGGUAAAGCAUUGAUGAGUAGUCAAUUUAAUUUUCAUAGAGUAGUGAAAUGUAAUAAAUCUUCAUUAGUGUAAUGAAGAUUAAUUGUAAUGUUUUUGGAAAAUCUUAUGGGACUUGGUUUAUUAUAUGGGUGCCAAUUGUUGCAUUUGAGUUAUUGAUCAUUUUUCUACAUUAUGAUUUAAAUUAUGAAAUAGAAAAAUAAUGGCGUACAAUAUGAAGUUAGGCUAUAACUCAUUCAUUCAUGAAAAAAUUGUAAUUUUGCCAAACCUAGUUUACAUAAACAAAUUUAUGUCAUAGGUUAGAGACACAAUCUCUAGGUGGAAGCCUAGGAGCUACGAUCCCUCUCUCUCUCUCUUGUUUGAUUGUCAUUUGGUAGUUUGAAAAUUUUAAAUUAGAAUUUUCUUCUAAUAGUUUUUAAUCACAAGUUUUUAGGGGGCUAUUAUUAAUUUUACUUACAAUGGGAAAAUAUAUUUGUUCUUUUUUUUUUAGUAGCAGUUAAAAAUGUCAACUUACCUUAACAAGAACCCUUUUUUUUUUUAAUAAGUCAAUAAAAUAAAUUAGUAGCAUACCUAAACUAACAUGAAGAUAUAAUAACAUAAAGUAAUUUAUCUUUGAAUAAAUUAAAAGCAAAGUCUUUUCUUUUAUUGUAAUAGUGAUGAAAUUCACUUCCAAAGCUUAUAGCAAAUCAUAAAGCAUAUGAAGAUCUACAAACAAAAUUUAUUGCCUUCGAGUAUGAUUUUUGGCAUAAGUCACUCUUCUUUUGAACAGUAGCCACUUGACAAUUUUGUCCACAAAAUCAAAAUAGGCAUCACACCAAGAUCUUCUUAUUGCCAAGACAAAAUAAGGAACUAAAAUGCCUAGCGCAAAUCCCAAGCCAAUGCUUAAGUAAAACCACUGAUCAAUAUAGCCACCAUCAAUUUUGUCCUCAAGAACACUUUGCCUUUUAUCUAGGUCUUCAUCCUGACAUUUUGUGACUAGUGGAGUUCCACAAAGAUUCGGGUUUCCAGUAAAGGCCAACUCUGUGAAAGUUGUCAUUUGCCCUGCAAAGGGGAUCUUACCAGAGAAAUUAUUAUUUGAUAGAUUCAAAUAACCCAAGAAUGUUAACGAGGACAUGCUUGAAGGAAUGGUGCCAGAAAGCUUGUUGCUUGAUAGAUCAAGAGAGGACAACUGACGCAACAUUGAAAUGCUUCCAGGAAUUUGGCCAAUGAUGUGAUUCAUGGACAAGUUUAGAAACACCAAACCAGACAAUUUUGUUAUUCCUUUGGGAAACUCUCCACUUAAAUUAUUGUCGGAUAGAUCGAUGCUAACAACAAGAGAAAGAGUCCUCGUGUAUUCAAGACUUUGGCCUUUUGUAAUCACAAUCAACCUUUCAUCAUAUCGAGAACCAUUCCCACUGUGAUACAAAGAAUACAUAUCCAUGUUACGCUCCUGAGCCAUGGCUUUAAGCUCCACCAAAGUGACUGGAAUUUUACCAGUCAAAUUGUUUUGUGCAAGGUCUAAGACAUGUAGGGAGCUUAAAUUUGAAAGUCGGUCGGGAAGUCUUCCAAAAAAUGCAUUCGACCUCAAGUUGAGUAUUACAAGAUUUAUGAAAGCAGUUCCAAUCCAUGAUGGAACCUUACCCGAUAAUUCGUUAUAACUGAGAUCAAGGAGUUCCAAACUUGAUAAAUUUUGGAAAGAUGAGGGAAGCUCUCCUGAAAGCUUGUUGUCGUUCAGGUGUAGUGAUUGGAGCAAUUGCAACUGACCUAAUGACUUUGGUAUCAUCCCGGACAAAUUGUUAUUUCCAAGGUCCAAAACAAUUAGGCGAGAGCAAUUAUUUAUGGUAGAAGGAAUGCUUCCGGUCAAAUUAUUCCUUGAAAAAUCAAUGACUUCAAGAGAGGUGAUGUGUCCUAUGGAAUCUGCGAUGGUCCCUGUUAUUUGAUUAUGAGAAAGACGAAGGUAACUCAAGUUUAACAGGGAUUCACCUUUGCUAAGUGGGAUAGGGCCAGAAAAUUUAUUAUGGGAGAGAUCUAGAAAUCCCACCCCUUUGAUUGAAAAAGGAAUAGGUCCUUCAAAGAGGUUGGAACUGAAAUCGAUCUGUGCGAGAAAAGGAUAAGAAAAAUUCAAUGAAUUUGGUAACUGACCUUGUAACUGAUUCUGAGAAAGACUUAAGUACCACAGAUUGAAAGAAAUAUUCCAAAACCAAUUUGGAAUACGACUUGAAACGCUAGCAUUUGAGAAAUUAAGAUAUUGGAGGUUCUUCUGAGAUUGAAGCCAAAUCGGAAAUGAAGGACCCAAGUGGCUUGAACCCAUAUCAAGAUAUUUCACCUGGAAAGGGGGAACCCAAUUGGGACUAACAUUCAAACGGAAAGAAUUGGAGUCCAUCUUUAGAUACUCCAACUUACUUAGCUUCCAAAAGUGUUGUUCAGAGAGACUUCCACUCAAAUGAUUGGAAGAAACAUCCAACCAUUGCAAUUCUGAAAGCUGUCCAAUACUAUCUGGGAGACUUCCACUCAAAUGAUUGAGAGAAACCUUCAAUUGUUGCAAUUGAGAAAGUUGUCCAAUACUAUCUGGGAGACUUCCAUUCAGCUCAUUCAUUCCAAUGGACAAGAACUCCAGGUGUUGCAAUGUCCAUAAAGAAGCAGGGAUGGGACCUUCAAAUCUAUUGCUGGAUAAACCGAGUCCCCUAAGAUUUUUAAGCUCACCCAACCAAUUUGGCAAUUUUCCCAUCAAUUGAUUGCCAUACAAGUAUAACUCCGUCAAAUUAGGCAAAGGACUUUUAGAACUGCAGGUUUCAAUUCCCUUGAUAAUCUCAGGUAAACUUCCAUUCAAGUAAUUAAAACUCAAAUCCAGAUAUUUUAAGUUGCAGAAGUUUCCAAAAGAGCUUGGAAUUGGACCUGUAAUGAGCAAGAUUAAAAAAUAUGUAUUAAUUAAAAUUAUGUAAUAAACAAAUAAUAAUAAUAGUAAAUAACAAAAUAAAUUAAUUCAUGAACAAUUAAUUUAAAGAAAAAAUAAGAAAAAUUAUUAUUAUUCAUGAAUUGGUACUUUUUUUUAUCUUUUCUGAUAACCAUAAAAUAAAAUAAUUUAUUUCAAUGUUGUAAGAAAAGUAGAAUUAAUCAUUGAUAUUAAUUGUUCCUUUAAAAAUGAACUAAAUUUUUUUGAACAAAGUGAUAGUUCAAUGAGAGAAGAUAGAAAAUCAAAAUAUAAACCAAAGGAUUAAGAAAUCAAGUUAUCAAAAGAUAAAUUUUUAUUUUAGUGAUGAAAAUAAAGCAAGAGAAAACUAGGAAUUCAACAUAGUUUAAUAUCUUGAAACAACAACACUAUAAGAAACUAGCAAAAUUAAAUAAAAAGUGAGAAACUUACAAUAAACUAAAAUUAGUAAAAUGACGAAGCAACAUGGUUUAUAGUCUAACUAAAAUAUACAAAGGAUAUGCAAUGAAAUGAAUUAUCUAAAUUAAUUGAGGAUUGAGGAUGUCCUUCAAUCAAAUUGUCACUCAAAUCUAAAUAUUUUAGAGACUUCAAUUUUAUCAAUAAAGGUCUGAUCUAAUUAAUUAAGUUUACAAGACACAAAACUCAUAUGGCAACAAUUACUUCCCCUUUAGGAUAGAGGUUAAUAUUAACUUCUUGAUUUGGAUUUUAGUCAAUUCUCUUAAUGAUGAAAAAAAAAACGCUAAGGUUGUGUUUAGAACUUCUAAUGUUUUAUUUCUAAAGAUAGAAAUUCAUAGAAACCCUAAUAUAAAUAGUAAAACUUUACCAUAAAAAGUAAUGAUAUUUAAAAAUUGUUUUAAAAACCAUGAAUAUUAGAAAAAAAUUUACUAUCUUAAAUUUUUUAAAUUUCAAUAACAGUAAUUAAGAACAUGAAAUGUCAUAUUAUAUUCACUUAAUGUUCAAUUUUAUGGUUUCAAUUACUUGUCUCAACCAUGAAAUGUCAUAUCUCAAUAUAUAAAUUACAAUAAUUUGGCAUAAUAGAUGAAUUAUGGAGAGAAAAUAGAAAUUGAAAAUGUGCAAGAGAUGACUGAAAGUUAUUUGAUGAUAAAGAUUCUUAACAAACGUAAAUUGUCAAAAUAGGAAUAUAAAUUUUUUUACUGUUUAAAAAAGCAGUAAUUUGGCAAUGUCCAUAAAGAAGCAGGGAUGUGACCUUCAAAUCUGUUGCCGGAUAAAUCGAGUCCCCUAAGAUUUUUAAGCUCACCCAACCAAUUUGGCAAUUUUCCCAUCAAUUGAUUGCCAUACAAGUAUAACUUCGUCAAAUUAGGCAAAGGACUUUUAGAACUGCAGGUUUCAAUUCCCUUGAUAAUCUCAGGUAAACUUCCAUUCAAGUAAUUACCCCCCAAAUUCAGAUAUUUUAAGUUGCAAAAGUUUCCAAAGGAGCUUGGAAUUGGACCUGUAAUGAGCAAGAUUAAAAAAAUAUGUAUUAAUUAAAAUUAUGUAAUAAACAAAUAAUAAAAAUAGUAAAUAACAAAAUAAAUUAAUUCAUGAACAAUUAAUUUAAAGAAAAAGUAAGAAAAAUUAUUAUUCAUGAACAAAAUAAAUUAUUAUUUAAAAGAUAAAUUUUAAUUUUAGCAAUGAAAAAAAUAUGUUUUUCUAAACAAUUAUUUUAAUUCCAAGUGGUUAUUCUAUUUAUUUACAAACUCCUAGAAAAUGUGAAUAAAAAAUUAUAGUUAUCUAAGUUAUAUACCAGUAGAAACUACCAUUAAAGAAUAAAGCUAGAGAAAACAAGGAAUUCAACCUAGUUUAAUAUUUUGAAACAAUAACACUACAAGAAACUAGCAAAAUUAAAUAAAAAGUGAGAAACUUAUAAUAAACUAAAAUUAGUAAAAUGACGAAGCAACAUGGUUUAUAGUCUAACUAAAAUAUACAAAGGAUAUGCAAUGAAAUGAAAUAUCUAAAUUAAUUGAGGAGUGAGGAUGUCCUUAAAUCAAAUUGUCACUCAAAUCUAAAUAUUUUAGAGACUUCAGUUUUAUCAAUAAAGGUCUAAUCUAAUUAAUUAAGUUUAAAAGAGACAAUAUAUCAAAGUAAAAACUCAUAUGACAACAAUUGCUUCCCCUUUAGAAUAGAGGUCAAUAUUCACUUCUUGAUUUGGAUUUUAGUCAAUUCUCUAAGGUUGUGUUUGGAACUUCUAAUGUUUUAUUUCUAAAGAUAGAAAUUCAUAGAAACUCUAAUAUAAAUAGUAAAACUUUACCAUAAAAAAGUAAUCAUACUUAAAAAUUGUUUUAAAAAACAUGAAUAUUAGAAAAAUUUUACUAUCUUAAUUUUUUUAAAUUUCAAUAACAGUAUUUAAGAACAUGAAAUGUCAUAUUAUAUUCACUUAAUGUUCAAUUUUAUGGUUUCAAUUACUUGUCUCAACCAUGAAAUGUCAUAUCUCAAUAUAUAAAUUACAAUAAUUUGGCAUAAUAGAUGAAUUAUGGAGAGAAAAUAGAAAUUGAAAAUGUGCAAGAGAUGAUUGAAAGUUAUUUGAUGAUAAAGAUUCUUAACAAACGUAAAUUGUCCAAAUAAGAAUAUAAAUUUUUUUACUGUGUAAAAAAGCAGUAAUUUGGCAAUGUCCAUAAAGAAGCAGGGAUGUGACCUUCAAGUUUGUUGCCGGAUAAAUCGAGGCGCCUAAGAUUUUUAAGCUCACCCAACCAAUUUGGCAAUUUUCCCAUCAAUUGAUUCUCAUACAAGUAUAACUCCGUCAAAUUAGGCAAAGGACUUUUAGAACUGCAGGUUUCAAUUCCCUUGAUAAUCUCAGGUAAACUUCCAUUCAAGUAAUUAAAACUCAAAUCCAGAUAUUUUAAGUUGCAGAAGUUUCCAAAAGAGCUUGGAAUUGGACCUGUAAUGAGCAAGAUUAAAAAAAUAUGUAUUAAUUAAAAUUAUGUAAUAAACAAAUAAUAAAAAUAGUAAAUAACAAAAUAAAUUAAUUCAUGAACAAUUAAUUUAAAGAAAAAGUAAGAAAAAUUAUUAUUCAUGAACAAAAUAAAUUAUUAUUUAAAAGAUAAAUUUUAAUUUUAGCAAUGAAAAAAAUAUGUUUUUCUAAACAAUUAUUUUAAUUCCAAGUGGUUAUUCUAUUUAUUUACAAACUCCUAGAAAAUGUGAAUAAAAAAUUAUAGUUAUCUAAGUUAUAUACCAGUAGAAACUACCAUUAAAGAAUAAAGCUAGAGAAAACAAGGAAUUCAACCUAGUUUAAUAUUUUGAAACAAUAACACUACAAGAAACUAGCAAAAUUAAAUAAAAAGUGAGAAACUUAUAAUAAACUAAAAUUAGUAAAAUGACGAAGCAACAUGGUUUAUAGUCUAACUAAAAUAUACAAAGGAUAUGCAAUGAAAUGAAAUAUCUAAAUUAAUUGAGGAGUGAGGAUGUCCUUAAAUCAAAUUGUCACUCAAAUCUAAAUAUUUUAGAGACUUCAAUUUUAUCAAUAAAGGUCUAAUCUAAUUAAUUAAGUUUAAAAGAGACAAUAUAUCAAAGUAAAAACUCAUAUGGCAACAAUUGUUUCCCCUUGAGAAUAGAGGUCAAUAUUAACUUCUUGAUUUGGAUUUUAGUCAAUUCUCUAAGGUUGUGUUUGGAACUUCUAAUGUUUUAUUUCUAAAGAUAGAAAUUCAUAGAAACUCUAAUAUAAAUAGUAAAACUUUACCAUAAAAAAGUAAUCAUACUUAGAAAUUGUUUUAAAAACCAUGAAUAUUAGAAAAAUUUUACUAUCUUAAUUUUUUUAAAUUUCAAUAACAGUAUUUAAGAACAUGAAAUGUCAUAUUAUAUUCACUUAAUGUUCAAUUUUAUGGUUUCAAUUACUUGUCUCAACCAUGAAAUGUCAUAUCUCAAUAUAUAAAUUACAAUAAUUUGGCAUAAUAGAUGAAUUAUGGAGAGAAAAUAGAAAUUGAAAAUGUGCAAGAGAUGAUUGAAAGUUAUUUGAUGAUAAAGAUUCUUAACAAACUUAAAUUGUCAAAAUAGGAAUAUAAAUUCUUUUUGGAGAUACAAAGAAAGUAAAUUUUUUAGAUUUCAAUCUAAUGUGGUUUUUUAUUUAUUAAUUACAAGAUUUUCAAAAAUAAAUGAAUAGUAAAUUAUAAUUAUUUAAAUUUUAUAGGAACAAGAAAUACCUUAAGAUAAACAUGACAAUCUAGAAUAAAACUUUGAUAGAAUAGUUUAAAACAAAGUAUACCAUGAGAAUAAAAAUUGAAAACUAUUUAAUAACUAAAACUAGUAAAAUAUUUUUUUAAAAAAAAGUGACACUAACAAAGUACGUAAUAUUAUAUCAAUUCAAUUGUAAUAUAAAUAUUCAACUUAGUGCAUACUCAAAUUAUUAUUCCCAAGAACAAAAUAAAUUGAAAAAAAUAAGAGCAUGUCAAAAUCUUACUAUAGAAAUGAAAGCAUUCAAAAAAAUAAUUAAUAUAAUAAUGUAUGAAAAUGAUACUACUAUUAUUAUUUAAAAUAAUAAAUAAUAAAUCAUCGAUAAACUAAUUUAAAAUAAAAAAAAGAGGUUGAGGAUUAAAAAAAUCAUAUUCCUAUGAGUACAAUUCUUUUAUUAGUUACAUAGACAUGCACCUUUUAUAAUCACUUACCCUUACACAAAAAAUUUGUUAAAUAAUAUAGAUACUUCAUAAGCAUAAAGUGUCAAACUAUAUACUUUUUCUUAGAUAAAAAAAAAACGAAAAAAAAAAAACUAAAUUUCCUUCUAAGAAAUUUAAAAUUCAAAAUAAUGUUUUAUUAGUAGGUAUAAAUUUAUUUCCACUACGAGAACAAAAUAUAGUGAUUAUUUGAUAUUGUAUGCUAAUACAUAUUCAAUAAGAACUUAUAUACACAAUCAUCAACUAUAUAUAUUUAAUUACACAUUUACAUACAAACAAAUAAAUAUCAAAUUUUCUAUUAAGAGAAGAACUUACCAUGUAAAUCAUUUCUAGCCAAACUGAGAAAUUCUAUCUUUUUCCAACUCUUCCUCAAUAGUUGAGAGAUAUUGCCCCCAGAGAGGCUACAACCAUCUAGAUGCAGCUCUGUUAAAUUUGGAAGUUUGUCUAGCACCUCGACCCAUUCACUUCCUAUUGAUGAAAGGUUAACAAAAUCCAUACCAAGAUACUUCAAGGAAACAAGACUAGUCACCCAUUCAAUAUUUCCAAUAGAUAAAUCACUAAAAUAUUCAAAAUCAUUAUAACUAAAACCUUCAGAAGAAAGAUCUAGAUACUGCAAAUUAGAAAGACUUCUAAAAUUUGAAGGAAUUGUACCACUAAACUCAGCACCUGAUAAGUUUAGAUAUAGUAAAUUCUUCAAAGACCCGAAGAAUUGAGGAAUUGGCAUGCCUUUGAAUGAGUUGAAACUCAAAUCUAGAUAUUUCAAAGACUUGAGUUUUGUCAAUGAAGGUCUAAUUUCUCCACUCAAGUUCAUAGAGCUCCAGUUCUCAUAUACAUUCUCACGAGGAUAAGGGUUAUGAAGAUCAAUGGAAAUGACAAUUCCUGUGUCUUUUUCACAAGUAAUUCCUUGCCAAUAGCAAUAAUUGCUUCCUUUCCAUGAUGAAAGUCGGUUGUUGGGAUCUUUGAGACCACUUUUGAAGUCAAUAAGAGCCUCUUGUUCAGAUUGAAUGUUGUUGAUGAUAUGGGUAUAGCCAUUACAUGCAAGUUCCGUUGUUAUGAAAUAGAGAAUGGCUAAAAUGAAACCAAGAAUUGAAAUUCUCUCCAUGUAAAUAUUCUAAGUUGAGCACCUGUAAAAAUUGAAUUCCAAUAUGUAGUUAGCAUUUUCUUGAAUUAAAUUAAAAUUUUAUUUUUGACAUCAAAAUGAAAAACUGAUAAAAUUUAAAAGACAGUUGCAUCAACAUGACGAACUUAUUUUAACCAACACAUUUAAGAAAUGUCACCAGUCUAAUAUAAUUUUAAAAGAUCUACUCAUAGCAUAUGUAAAUAUAUACUAAGAAAAACAGUAGUAAUCAUCUCAUAGAUAUUCAACCUUACUUUGAUUGGCAAGAACUGAAAUCACCUACAAGUGGAAGGAUUAGAUAGAAAAAAACACAUUAAAAGUAGUUUAUCAAUAUUAGUCGAGUUCAACCUUACCUGAAACUUCUUUCUUGUUUUCCUUGUUUUUUCAAUUCAACUAAAAUAUAUAGAAGAUUGUUUAAAGUGAUGACAAUGAUAGCCUCACUUUCUUAUUUUCCUUGUUUUUUCAAUCAUAUUAAAUUCUAAUUGAGUGGAAAAUGACUUAGAGUUCUUACCUCCACCACAAAAACCAAGUGUCUUGAUUGAAGACCUUCACUUGAAGAUAAAAAAGAUGUGGAUUGAAAGACCACGAGUUGGCACUAAGUCAAGGUCAAUAAGAUUAAAAUAAACAUUAAAAUUCAUCUAUGAGUAAAAAAAACUACACUUGUUUAAAUUUUGAAAGAUCUUAAUUGGGAAAAAUAAAAUAUGUAUAUCAAGGUGCUAAGAAUAAGUCAAGAGCUUAGAUCAUUCAACAUACAAAAAUAGUAUUGAAUCGAUGGGCUUAUUUGGUGGUAUAAUUUAGAAAUUCAUACACUAUUUGGCAUGUUUUAUCCCAAAAACAAAUUUUUAAAAUAAAGUUAAAUAGAGAACAACUUUAGGAAAAUAAAUAAAAUUUCUUCUCACUUGUUUUUUAAAACAAAAAGAAAACAUAAAAAAAAUAAUAAAUACAAUCUCUUUCUUCUUUCAUUUUUUCUUUACCAACCAAUGAUAAAAAAUCAUCAAAUAUGAUCUUUCUCUUAAUUAUACGUAUUUUUUUUAUUUUCUUUAACUUCUCUAAUUUUUUUUAUUAGGCAUAUAGACUUUGAAUCAAAUAAUACUUAAAAUAAAGGAUUUAUUCAUUUUAAAAAUAAUUUGAAACUCAAAAUCAAUUUAAUUAAUACUAAAUUGUCAUCAAACUUAAAAGUUAAUUUAAUUAAUACAAAAAAAGUCAUGAACCAAAAUUUAUCAUGGAUGACUUUUUUAGUUUCUUAUUACAACACAUAACUAUAUUUUUCUGAAUUUUUUACUAGAAAAAUAAAUUAAAUCUAGCAAAACUUAAUGUUUCGAUCCUUUAAUGAAUCUGAUAAUUUUUAGAAAUACUUUCAAAUUCACAUAUGGACUCAAUUAAUAGCAUAAAUUUAUGGAUAAAAAUGGUUUAAAAUGACUCUUGUUGUCUAUUUUCUGGGUAGAACUAUAAUUUUUUAUUUUUUAUUACUAGACGAAUAGACCUCAAAUCAAGAAAAAAAAAACUUAAUGUUUUGGGUGCUUUAAAAAUUCUAUUACUUUUAAAGAAUUAAUUUGAGACUUAAAUUACAUUCAAGUAAAACAUCCUUUAAAAUGAAAAAAUAAAAUAAAAUAGUUUGUAUCUUUUUCAUGACCCAUUAAUCUUGUAAGAAUCAUAGAUCACGUUGUUUGAUCAUGAUCGAUGAUUAACGAACUUUAUUCUCUAUGUAGUGUUGACUACGUUAUCAAGUCAAAAAGUUAUACCGUGUUCAAGUAAGACAUCUUCCAAAAUUUUAAAAAAUAUAAUAAGAUAAAAUAAAAUAAAGGCCUUGACUCAAUUCUUUUUAUCAUGAAGGUCAUUCUUCACCUAAAAAAUAAGGUUAACAACUUCGCAUCUAAUUAUAAUAUAGGAUAAAAAGAAGUGUUUAAUAGUGAUCAAAACACUGAUUUUAUAUCAUUAUACAAAAUUAAAGGAAAUAAUCAACUAGUCAAGAAAUGAAUUGAUUAAUUGUUACCUUUACCAAAAUGCCUUAUUAUAUAUUAUAGCUUUUCUUUAAAUAAAAUUAAAAGAAAAUUGUCUAAUAGCACCAUAACAAAGGGAAAAUUGAUCUUAGUCCACAUUACUACUUUUGUUUAAACAAAAUUAAAAUAAAUUUUGUGAAAUAUAUCAAUAAAAAAGGAAAAAUUGCAUGAAAAGAUAGAAUUUUUUUUUUAAAGCAAAAUGUUACUAAAUAAAGGGAAAAUACUUGUAUAAACUAGUUUAUCUAAAAUUAGACCUUGACUUAGUAUUUCAUAAAUAUAGGAGAACAAAUAUAUAUGUCAACCAUACCAUUAAUUUUAUCUUAAUGUAUAAAAAUAAAGAUAACUAUUGGAUAGCCAAAAAUAAUAAUAAAAUUAAAUAUUUAUUAUCCAUAAUUGUAAAUUAUGAAAACAUUGAAAAGUUAUUUUAAAUCCUAGUAUGUCAAAAUAACAUCACUAAUAUAAUUGCUUUCAAUUCAUUUUUACACACACAUAGUAGAUUAAACAUUAUAUCUAUCUUGCAAUUUAAGUAAUCACUUUUGACUUCAAAGGAAAAUGAUAUUAGAAAAUAAUAUUAUCCAACCCAAAAACUUAAUUUCUUUAAGUUCCAACUAAUGAGAAACAUACACAUGCAAUAACCUUAUUACAAUAGAUUAGUUUCUUCCAAUUUAUUUUUUUUAAUUUUUUAUUAUUCAAAUAUCUAAUAACCUAAUUUGCCUAAAAUUAAUCAUGACAAUGAUUAACCAUCUAAAAUCAAAUCAUAAUGUCCAUUUUUUUCUUGAUCAUAAUCCACAAUAAAGAAUAUUUAUUUUGAAUGAAGUGUAGACCACAUUAUAAAGUUUGUCAAUUCAAAUAGUCAUAUGGAUAAUAAAUAACUAUUUUAAAAUCAUAUUAGAAUAGUUUGUAUUGUUAUAUGACCUAUCAAUUUUGUAUGAAGUGUAGACUACGUUGUUUAACUAUGACCGAUGAUAAUGUAAUUUUAUUCUCUAUGUAGUAUUGAUCACGUUAUCAAGUCAAAAAGUUAAAUCGUGUUCAAGUAAAACAUCCUUUAAAAUUAAAAAAAAAAUCAAAAAUCAAAAGACCUUGACUCAUUCAAAAUUAUGGGUUUUGAAAGUUGGAAGUAAAAAUGGAGAAGGAAAAACCAAGAAAAAAAGGCCCAUAUAUUAGGCCCUUGUAGAAAGGAAAAAAAGGUUUUCGAAAAAGGAAAAUUAAAUAAAAUAAAAAUUCCAACGAGCCAAAAGUUGCCCAGAAAAUGGGCCGAAAUAGGGGCCAAAUAAUAAUAAUAAUAACCAUACAUCCGUAUUGAAGGUGAUAUCUUUUGAAACAUUCAAGUCCACGUAAGAUAGUAAUAGAUAAGAUGAUAAUAGCCUUACAACCAUAUUGAAGGGUGAUAUCUUUUGAAAUAUUCAAGAUCUUACAACGUUGAAGUCAAUGAAAAAUGUUGUCCACACAAGAUGAUAAUAACUUUACAAUCAUAUUAAAGGAUGAUAUCUUUCAAAACAUUCAAGACCUUACAACCACAUUGAAAUAUUUUAGACUUUUCAACAUUCAAGUCUAUGACAAAUAUUGUUCACACAAAAUGGUAAUGGAUAAGUUUAAUAUUCUCAAAUUAUUAUAAAUCAAGCAAGUCUAGCUUGGCUAAUAAUAUUAUAAACUUAAAAAUUAAUUAUCUAGAAUUAUAAAUUAGUUAAAGUUAUUUUGAAUCCAAAUAUGCCAAUUAAGUAGCACCAUUAUUAUAAUUGCAUCUAAUGGUAGCAUGUUAUCCUCUAGUUCAUUAUUUUCAUUAAUUGACACAGAAUCAGUAGAAAUAGAAUCAGAUUUUACUUGAAACCCUAAAACAGGGCUGACCUUAAAUUCCAGGUUGUUUGGAUCAAUAGACUUGAGCAUGAAGUCAUUAUGUCUAGACUUUGAAUCCUCCUCCGGCUAGGGCUUUGAAGCCCCACUCUCUUUCUAGGUUUCAUUGUUCUGCUCCUCUUGCCCACUUUGUGCUAUUUCAGAUACCACACUCUCACUAACCAUAGUGCUAGUUUCGACAAAAAUUACAUUUCCUGAAUAAAAUUUCAUUGAAAGAAUAUAAUCAUGCAAAGUAAAAAUAAGACUAACUAAACAUUAGUUGCUGAAAAAUAUAAGAUAGGUGCACUACUUGAACUAUUGACUGUGAACCUGCUAAGACAUCAAAUUUUCUACCUUUCUUUCCAGAAAUUCUAAUAUGAUUCUGCACAACUCAACUAGAAUAACAUUAAAAUCUAGGCCAUUGAAUUUUUUACUUUUACAUGGGCUGCAUAUAUAUCCAGAUUAAAACCAUAUAAGUUGCAACACAAUAGCAUAACAACUAAUUCGUAUAUGGUCAUUCAGAAACCAUAUUAAUUUUUUUUCAUAAUGACUAUUAUUUUUUUCUACACAUAAUUAUAUUUUAAUAAAAUUUCUCACUAUAAAAAUGAACUUCAAAUUGACACUUUGUAUUAAAUUUAUUAAUAUGUUUAACAAUUUUCAAAAAUAAUUUGGAACUAAAAAAAUAAGUACAAUCAUAAAAAAAAAAAACAAUAGAUUAAUACUAAUAUAUUAUGAAUCAUAACUUUACUGUUUCUUCUAUAUAUACAAAUAUAUUUUUUGAAUUUAGGUAAAUAAAUUAUAAUUUGAGUAAGACAAAUUAAUAAUUUAAGUUCUUUAAUGAAUUUUUAAAUUUUUAAGAAUAAUCUUGAAUUCAUAAUUGCCCUCAUGGCAUAUUGCCCACCAGUACACAAAAUAAAACCGAUGGAAGUAGGUAGAAAAUUAUUUAGGAAGAACCACUCAGAUUAUGCAGUAUGGUAAUGUACAUCAAUAAGUUGGGUAAUCAGCUAUAAAGUUGUAAUUUCCAUAAUGUUAUAAUGAUCUUCUACAGAGUAUCUGAAAAUAAGUUGAAAUCUGAAUCCCUAUGGGAUGCACACCAAGCUUCUCGUAAACAUCAUGAGGUGAUGCUUACUGUCCUAGUUAUGUUAUGAAUAAAGCUAUUGACAAAUUGCAUUCAGAGGUUCUAUAGCAUGUACAAUCACACACGACACAAAAGAUUAUUGUAAUUUCAUUCCUUUAUGAUAGAUAAAUUCUAAAAUAAGAAUGCAGUGAAAUCAUGUAUGAAGAUAUCUACAGAUUGUCACACUCAAGAGUCGAUACAGUAGAAGAAAAACAUUUGUCUUUGUAUUUACAGAUUAACGUGUACAUCAAAAUGCAAUGAAUAUUGUCUAUCAAAAAAAACAAAAAAAAAAUACAAUGAACACAUGUAUUUGUGUAUCUAUUUAUACAUGCUAUUGAUUAUUUGCAUGUCAAAAUCAGGUUGUUUGAUUUUAAAAGAUUCUAUAUGGAUUCAAAAGAUGUAUGUGCUAGGGUCUUAUCUUUGCUACUGAAGCUAUACUUUUAAUAUGCUUUGUUUUUUUUUUUUUUUGAAAUUUUAUGCACGUUUCCUCUUAUAUAUUACUUUUAUGUUUAUUAUCUAUACAUAAUUAACAAUUAAUGAUGAUAUCAUAGAUCAUUAUUUUCCUGUGUUUCAUAUUGUAUCCUAAGUGGAAAUAUCAUUGAAAUCCUUCUAUACUUGUGUAAAAAAUAAACAGCUGUCAUGCAUAGAUUAUCGCAUAGUGUAUAAUUAUAAUUUUGUUUUUAAACAAAACAAACAAAUUAGGGUCUGCAACCCUACUCAGCAGCUGCUCAGUUGACAGCUCCAAUCUGGCUCUAUGCACCUAAAGAUUAUUUUGUACUUAAAAGGAACUAUUUAAAAAAAACACAAAAAGAAGAAAAUAUUUUUAAUCUGUCGUUGGAUGAAACAGGGUGAAUGAGCCCUAUCAGGGUAUAAGGUUUUUUUUUUUUUUUUGGUUUUUGUUUUUGUUUUUUGUUUUUAUUUAUUUAUUUAUUUUUUAUCAUAAACAAUAAUUCGUUGAUAAGGAUUUGAAAGUACAUGUGAAGGAUGAGAAUUCCUUCCUGAAAAUAAAAAUUUUGAUUAAACAUAAACAAAUGGAUGAUUUCCCCAAAAUGCAAAACGAGACCUCAAUAUAUUGCCAAAAGAAACCAUAGAAAGGAAAGACUAUUCUCUAUGGGCUGAAGCUUUGCUCUAAGCUUAACUAUUUUGACUUUUAUGAUUCACACACCAAAUUCUAAUUGAGCUAGAGUCCCCUUGAAAGCUGUAGUUGUUGGGCCUCAAAAAGAGGAAUAGAGAUAAAUUAGGUUCCAUAUAGAUUUUGUAGUUCUCCGCUUAUCCUAAAAAAUCUUUACAUUUCUUUUUCUUCCAAUUUGCCAAAAUUUUUUGCUCUAGAAUAAAUUGCUCCUCAAACCUCUAAAAGAUAUCGUCAUCAUGUCNNNNNNNNNNNNNNNNNNNNNNNNNNNNNNNNNNNNNNNNNNNNNNNNNNNNNNNNNNNNNNNNNNNNNNNNNNNNNNNNNNNNNNNNNNNNNNNNNNNNNNNNNNNNNNNNNNNNNNNNNNNNNNNNNNNNNNNNNNNNNNNNNNNNNNNNNNNNNNNNNNNNNNNNNNNNNNNAAUGAUGUCAGCAAACAUCUCAACAAUAGAUUUAUUAUCUUUCGUAGAAAUAACUCAUAAUUAAGCACAAGAAUAUUGAUUUUAGAGUCUUUAACUUGAUUUGUCUCUUCAUAAGUUAUUUCUAAAAAUCUCCAAAUAUCAUAAGUGGAUUCACAUUGGCAAACGUAGUUAUAUUUAUUUCUAUCAAUUGUACAAUGUAAACAUUAAUAGAUAUCUUUAGCAUUUAAAUGAGCUUUUCUUUUGUUAAACUCAUCCCACUUUUAGCUAGGUUUAGGUAUAACAACUUCAUUCUCAAUUUGGUUUAGAAUAUGGGGACCAUUUUGGAUGAAAAAGAUCAUAAUCAAUGGAUUUAAAAAUAAUGUCGUCCUAGUUUCCCAAUAGAAGUAAUUGAUUCCCAAAAAGAACAAAUAUAUAUUAAUCGAAAACCCUUCCAUAUAAGAUGAGUUGGAAGAAUUAGCUAUUUUCUUUUAGACAAUUAAGUAAAAAACAAAAGGUCUAGCUUUGAUACCAAUUGUGAAAAAAAGCUAUUUUGAUUUAGAUAAUCAUGCAAGAGUGGGACGAAUUAGGUAUUGAAACUAUUUUAAAAAAUAAUCAACUUAAGCAAGUUAUGUAAAGGAUAAGAAUGAAUAGAGAGUAAUAUUAAGAAAUUAAGGGAAUAAUAUUGCAAACUCUUUUAUAAUGGUUUGGGAAGCUGCCUAUAUCCACUCUCCUCAAGCUGCUAAUAGGGUGAAGGUUACACUUAGGUGGUGUUUGUUUUUUUACUUAAUUCUAAAUAGAACCUUAAUACUUAAUAGUAUUAAAUAUUAGGUUGUUUGUUUUUGUAGUAUUUUAUUUCUACUAAGUAUUAAAAAGUAAAAAAAAACCAUUGUAUUAUUUUUUCUAUUUAGAAAAAGCCACAUAUUCUGGCUUUUUCUGUUUAGUAAAAAAUUUAUAAUAAGUCAUGAAAAAGUAAAAAAACAAACAACCUAAAUUCUAAAACUAAAUGGUUUUCAGCAAAAAGCCAAAAAAACAAACACCACCUUAGAUUCCAAGGUUCCAAUAGACCUUUACAAACUCUUCAAGUAAAAUGCCUACUUGAAUACUUCUCUCACAAUAUUAAAUUUUGAAGCUGUAUCCGUAUAGAGGCCAAGGUGUUUUAUGUGUCAGGCUUUUGUUAAUAUACUGCACUGGAAGCUUAAGUGAAAGCUCUUGAGUCAUUUAAUGUUGGGCUCUAAGGUUUAUAUUUGAUAUAUCUCAUAGGAUAGUUCUCAUUUCAGUUACUAUUGGCCAGGUGAAAUUUCCAAUACACAGCUGCUAUUUUAUGGUUCCUAGGUGUAAACUAGUAACGCUUUCAACUUUCUUGUGACUUAUGGAAUGCUGAGUAGAUUGAUGCAAAUUUGAGUGUAUUCAAGAAACUAAAGAUUUUUGUACAUGGAAUAGUAUAAUCUGUUCAAAAAGGGAAAAAAAAAUACUGCAGUAAUUUUGAAUGUAUGAUAUGAAUGCAGGGAGAUUAUAAUAAUUUCUCCCUGUUCAAUUGUCUAAACUCGCCCUGCUCUGUGCUUAAUCUUUGAACUUUUGACAAGAUUUUGCAAAGAUUUUAGACAGCGUCUACAAAAUUCCACUUUCUCAUUGAAAAUAUGAGCCACAAUUUUAUAUGAAUUGGUUUACAUCCUUUCAAUUGUUAUUAUUUUUUUUUUUAUGUUUUGAUUUACCAUGAGUUAAUGAAGUGCUUAUACCACUACAGGCAAUUAAAAAUGUCAAAGCCAAUGCUGCUGGACUAACUCGGGCUAACAAUGCAAAACCUGAGGCCCCUAAACCUGAGUCCUCAACUGUAUUGUCUAAUGCUACAUCUGAACCCUCUAUGAAUUUGCAGAAGGCUCAGCUAUCAUCUGGGUUUCCUGCAGAUUUUUUUGAUAAUCAUGUGACAAAGAAGCAAAAAUCUGGUAAGAAAAAAACUGACAUCCAACUUAAGCUUUUCUUCAUCAGUUCAAUUCUAGGCUAUGGCAAUAACUACCUUAGGCUUGUACUUGUUCUGCAGCAUUUUCUAUUGUUAAAAACUAAAGUAAUUACUUUAGGUUUACAAAUGUAAGGAAGUACCCAAUUUUGAAUUCAGAGUUUGACUGAAAUUGAGAAGCAACCUAUUACCGAUUCUGAGCAUAUAUUCUAGCUGAUGCCCAAUAAGCCGGAAGAGUUGCUAAGUCCUUGUUUCUAGCUGUCCACAUACUUCAUGCAAAUCCCCUAUCAUAUUCUUCUUUCUUAGUUUCUUGGUGCAUCUCUAUGUCUGGAGAUUCAUUGCAGAGAAAUUCCUUGAUUACUCUUCUUUUGUUUCUAGACACCAAUCCUCUGCGUUCUGACUGAUGAUCUUCAUUCAAAUAUUUUGACAGUCAAUGAGCACCCUUACAACUCCUGUUAGGCCUCAAUCCUGGUGAUCCUCCGGAUUCAAUUUAGCAGGUUUGUACGUCCUGCUUAAAGUACACCUUACACUUGAACCUUCUGUGGGAGAGACAAUCCUCACUGUGCUUGACAAGCUUGACAUUCAUAGGGGCCAAUACAGAUUCAAAAUCUUCUCCUUGCAAAAACAAGGACUUGCUAGAUUUCAGCCAAAAUGACUCAAGUUGGGCCCUGAAGCCCUUUGAAACACCCUUUCAGGUGGUUAAGAAAGCAAAAGGUGUUUGGUCUGUUAAGCUGACAAGUUUUCUAGAAAAACCAAGUAAUAGAACUUUCUAGGAUUUUUGAUUUGCUUCUUCAACACUGUCUUUGACUGUUGAUAAAUUCCUGCAGUCAUGACUGUAAUCGCAAGUUGUUAUUAGUCUGGCAAUUUGUUCUAUAUUCCCUAGUUGAAAUUCAAUUGCCCAUUUUUGGGAUUUGACUUGAUCCUGGUAACCUGUGGUUUUAGAGGAAUAAUUUAUAUUUCAUAAUGUAUCUCUAGGAAAUGAUGAUGUCAAGUUCCUAGAUCCAGAUUCAUACAACAAGACUGGGGGUUCUGCUUCUGCUCAAACUCAGUCAAUGGAGCCUCUUGAGUCGAAAAACAAUUUAAACGGAUUGUCCAGUUCUCACUCUGAAAAGAUGGGAAAAAGUGGAAUUCGUCAUGCCAGGGACCUUACCCAGACAUCAGGAAAGAUUGUUGGUUCAGAAACCAAGGAAGUAAAGGGUGCUCUUCCUGAAGGCUUCUUUGACAACAAGGAUGCUGACCUUCGUGCACGUGGUAUUGUGCCUGUUAAGCCGGAUGUCAAG